GAUGAACGCUGGCGGCGUGCUUAACACAUGCAAGUCGAACGAUGAAGCCCAGCUUGCUGGGUGGAUUAGUGGCGAACGGGUGAGUAACACGUGAGUAACCUGCCCUUAACUCUGGGAUAAGCCUGGGAAACUGGGUCUAAUACCGGAUAGGAGCGUCCACCGCAUGGUGGGUGUUGGAAAGAUUUAUCGGUUUUGGAUGGACUCGCGGCCUAUCAGCUUGUUGGUGAGGUAAUGGCUCACCAAGGCGACGACGGGUAGCCGGCCUGAGAGGGUGACCGGCCACACUGGGACUGAGACACGGCCCAGACUCCUACGGGAGGCAGCAGUGGGGAAUAUUGCACAAUGGCCGCAAGCCUGAUGCAGCGACGCCGCGUGAGGGAUGACGGCCUUCGGGUUGUAAACCUCUUUCAGUAGGGAAGAAGCGAAAGUGACGGUACCUGCAGAAGAAGCACCGGCUAACUACGUG
Molecule: ribosomal RNA, 466 nt
Filed under: uncultured bacterium
Lineage: Bacteria
Description: partial 16S ribosomal RNA
Rfam family: Bacterial small subunit ribosomal RNA
Source: RNAcentral